Talpa occidentalis (Iberian mole) is the source of this 162-nucleotide small nuclear RNA. RefSeq annotates it as U1 spliceosomal RNA. The record is from RefSeq and is a predicted model, not a curated record. NCBI's taxonomy places the organism in Eukaryota, Metazoa, Chordata, Mammalia, Eulipotyphla, Talpidae. The transcript has a single exon.
ACACUCACCUGGCAGAGAAGACACCAUGAUCACAAAAGUCUUUUUCCCAGAGCGAAGGUCAUCUCUUGUAUUCCAGAUGUGUUGAUCCCUGUGAUUUCCCCACAUGUGGAAAAGUUGACUUGAUAAUUUGUAGUAGUGAAGGACUGUAUUUGCUGUCUCCCC